Molecule: ribosomal RNA, 855 nt
Filed under: Listeria monocytogenes
Lineage: Bacteria; Bacillati; Bacillota; Bacilli; Caryophanales; Listeriaceae
Description: bacterial SSU rRNA
Rfam family: Bacterial small subunit ribosomal RNA
Source: RNAcentral
AGGACGAACGCUGGCGGCGUGCCUAAUACAUGCAAGUCGAACGCUUUUUCUUUCACCGGAGCUUGCUCCACCGAAAGAAAAAGAGUGGCGAACGGGUGAGUAACACGUGGGUAACCUGCCCAUCAGAAGGGGAUAACACUUGGAAACAGGUGCUAAUACCGUAUAACACUAUUUUCCGCAUGGAAGAAAGUUGAAAGGCGCUUUUGCGUCACUGAUGGAUGGACCCGCGGUGCAUUAGCUAGUUGGUGAGGUAACGGCUCACCAAGGCAACGAUGCAUAGCCGACCUGAGAGGGUGAUCGGCCACACUGGGACUGAGACACGGCCCAGACUCCUACGGGAGGCAGCAGUAGGGAAUCUUCGGCAAUGGACGAAAGUCUGACCGAGCAACGCCGCGUGAGUGAAGAAGGUUUUCGGAUCGUAAAACUCUGUUGUUAGAGAAGAACAAGGAUGAGAGUAAAACGUUCAUCCCUUGACGGUAUCUAACCAGAAAGCCACGGCUAACUACGUGCCAGCAGCCGCGGUAAUACGUAGGUGGCAAGCGUUGUCCGGAUUUAUUGGGCGUAAAGCGAGCGCAGGCGGUUUCUUAAGUCUGAUGUGAAAGCCCCCGGCUCAACCGGGGAGGGUCAUUGGAAACUGGGAGACUUGAGUGCAGAAGAGGAGAGUGGAAUUCCAUGUGUAGCGGUGAAAUGCGUAGAUAUAUGGAGGAACACCAGUGGCGAAGGCGGCUCUCUGGUCUGUAACUGACGCUGAGGCUCGAAAGCGUGGGGAGCGAACAGGAUUAGAUACCCUGGUAGUCCACGCCGUAAACGAUGAGUGCUAAGUGUUGGAGGGUUUCCGCCCUUCAGUGCUGCAGC